This 73-nucleotide transfer RNA is filed under the name Methylophaga sp. RNAcentral describes it as "tRNA-Arg". It matches the Rfam family "tRNA". From Rfam's summary of the family: Transfer RNA (tRNA) molecules are approximately 80 nucleotides in length. The record is from RNAcentral. Lineage: Bacteria; Pseudomonadati; Pseudomonadota; Gammaproteobacteria; Thiotrichales; Piscirickettsiaceae. RNAcentral also lists the same sequence under 1 other name.
AGCCCUAUAGCUCAAUUGGAUAGAGUUCCACUCUUCUAAAGCGGACGUUCUGGUUCGAAUCCAGAUGGGGCUA